This is a non-coding RNA of Pogona vitticeps (central bearded dragon), 589 nucleotides long. The record is from RefSeq and is a predicted model, not a curated record. Lineage: Eukaryota; Metazoa; Chordata; Lepidosauria; Squamata; Agamidae.
UUCUGAUUGGCAGACUCAUUCACAUGCAUUCAGAGCUCAUGAAUUUUACUUAACACGUCCUCCUAUUGCUUAUUGGCUGGGUUUUAAUUGGAGUGAUGUAUUGCGGAUCUGCUAGAUGAAGUGGAACAGUUUCUCCUUCUCUUUUCCCUUAGUUUAAGUGGCCCUUUUCUUUCAAACCACCUCGUCAGAGAUGCUUCAGGCUAAUUAUUAAUAUAUGGAAGCUCCGCAAAGCCUUGUGACCAUGGGAGUCCAUUAUAGUCCACUAAAGUCACUUUCUCAAGCUCUGGAAAUACGUUGCAUCUUGCAUUUGUUUGCCUCAUAGCUGGUUACAGCAUUACUAUACCCGUCUCUUUUUCCUACCCAAGGGGGACUGAAGAAGCUCACCCAUCUAAGGAAGUAGUGAGGGAUUCCUUGGUUGACAGCCUGUUGUGACCAGUCGCCAGAAGCUUCAUAGAGAGAUAACAAGGGAGUUUCAGAAGGUGUGGUGUGCAAAUUAAUUCCAAGUGGCAAAACUGGAUCUGACAAGGUGAACUGAAGAGAUGAACAAUACUAGGAGUCAGAAGGUCCCCUGUCCUUUUUUUCCUCCUUA